RNAcentral lists this ribosomal RNA (497 nucleotides) under uncultured bacterium. RNAcentral describes it as "partial 16S ribosomal RNA". It matches the Rfam family "Bacterial small subunit ribosomal RNA", at positions 28 to 507 of the family's 1533-position model. The record is from RNAcentral.
GAUGAACGCUGGCGGCGUGCCUAAUACAUGCAAGUCGAGCGAACAGACGAGGAGCUUGCUCCUCUGACGUUAGCGGCGGACGGGUGAGUAACACGUGGAUAACCUACCUAUAAGACUGGGAUAACUUCGGGAAACCGGAGCUAAUACCGGAUAAUAUAUUGAACCGCAUGGUUCAAUAGUGAAAGACGGUUUUGCUGUCACUUAUAGAUGGACCCGCGCCGCAUUAGCUAGUUGGUAAGGUAACGGCUUACCAAGGCAACGAUGCGUAGCCGACCUGAGAGGGUGAUCGGCCACACUGGAACUGAGACACGGUCCAGACUCCUACGGGAGGCAGCAGUAGGGAAUCUUCCGCAAUGGGCGAAAGCCUGACGGAGCAGCGCCGCGUGAGUGAUGAAGGUCUUCGGAUCGUAAAACUCUGUUAUUGGGGAAGAACAAAUGUGUAAGUAACUAUGCACGUCUUGACGGUACCUAAUCAGAAAGCCACGGCUAACUACGUG